Molecule: ribosomal RNA, 406 nt
Filed under: uncultured bacterium
Lineage: Bacteria
Description: partial 16S ribosomal RNA
Rfam family: Bacterial small subunit ribosomal RNA
Source: RNAcentral
AUUGAACGCUGGCGGCAGGCCUAACACAUGCAAGUCGAACGAGUGGCGGACGGGUGAGUAAUGUCUGGGAAACUGCCCGAUGGAGGGGGAUAACUACUGGAAACGGUAGCUAAUACCGCAUACCAUCAGAUGUGCCCAUGUGGGAUUAGCUAGUUGGGGGGGUAAUGGCUCACCUAGGCGACGAUCCCUAGCUGGUCUGAGAGGAUGACCAGCCAAACUGGAACUGAGACACGGUCCAGACUCCUACGGGAGGCAGCAGUGGGGAAUAUUGGACAAUGGGCGCAAGCCUGAUGCAGCCAUGCCGCGUGGGUGAAGAAGGCCUUCGGGUUGUAAAGCACUUUCAGCGGGGAGGCGUUACCCGAAGAAGAAGCACCGGCUAACUCCGUGCCAGCAGCCGCGGUAAUUC